This 67-nucleotide transfer RNA is filed under the name Palaemon modestus. RNAcentral describes it as "tRNA-Glu". The record is from RNAcentral. Lineage: Eukaryota; Metazoa; Arthropoda; Malacostraca; Decapoda; Palaemonidae.
GUUAUUAUAGUGUAAUAAACACGCUACUUUUUCAUUGUAGAACUAAAGGAACAUCCUUUUAAAAACA